CGGCAAGGGGGUCAUCCCGACUUACCAACCCGAUGCAAACUGCGAAUACCGGAGAAUGUUAUCACGGGAGACACACGGCGGGUGCUAACGUCCGUCGUGAAGAGGGAAACAACCCAGACCGCCAGCUAAGGUCCCAAAGUCAUGGUUAAGUGGGAAACGAUGUGGGAAGGCCCAGACAGCCAGGAUGUUGGCUUAGAAGCAGCCAUCAUUUAAAGAAAGCGUAAUAGCUCACUGGUCGAGUCGGCCUGCGCGGAAGAUGUAACGGGGCUAAACCAUGCACCGAAGCUGCGGCAGCGACGCUUAUGCGUUGUUGGGUAGGGGAGCGUUCUGUAAGCCUGUGAAGGUGUGCUGUGAGGCAUGCUGGAGGUAUCAGAAGUGCGAAUGCUGACAUAAGUAACGAUAAAGCGGGUGAAAAGCCCGCUCGCCGGAAGACCAAGGGUUCCUGUCCAACGUUAAUCGGGGCAGGGUGAGUCGACCCCUAAGGCGAGGCCGAAAGGCGUAGUCGAUGGGAAACAGGUUAAUAUUCCUGUACUUGGUGUUACUGCGAAGGGGGGACGGAGAAGGCUAUGUUGGCCGGGCGACGGUUGUCCCGGUUUAAGCGUGUAGGCUGGUUUUCCAGGCAAAUCCGGAAAAUCAAGGCUGAGGCGUGAUGACGAGGCACUACGGUGCUGAAGCAACAAAUGCCCUGCUUCCAGGAAAAGCCUCUAAGCAUCAGGUAACAUCAAAUCGUACCCCAAACCGACACAGGUGGUCAGGUAGAGAAUACCAAGGCGCUUGAGAGAACUCGGGUGAAGGAACUAGGCAAAAUGGUGCCGUAACUUCGGGAGAAGGCACGCUGAUAUGUAGGUGAAGUCCCUCGCGGAUGGAGCUGAAAUCAGUCGAAGAUACCAGCUGGCUGCAACUGUUUAUUAAAAACACAGCACUGUGCAAACACGAAAGUGGACGUAUACGGUGUGACGCCUGCCCGGUGCCGGAAGGUUAAUUGAUGGGGUCAGCGCAAGCGAAGCUCUUGAUCGAAGCCCCGGUAAACGGCGGCCGUAACUAUAACGGUCCUAAGGUAGCGAAAUUCCUUGUCGGGUAAGUUCCGACCUGCACGAAUGGCGUAAUGAUGGCCAGGCUGUCUCCACCCGAGACUCAGUGAAAUUGAACUCGCUGUGAAGAUGCAGUGUACCCGCGGCAAGACGGAAAGACCCCGUGAACCUUUACUAUAGCUUGACACUGAACAUUGAGCCUUGAUGUGUAGGAUAGGUGGGAGGCUUAGAAGUGUGGACGCCAGUCUGCAUGGAGCCGACCUUGAAAUACCACCCUUUAAUGUUUGAUGUUCUAACGUUGACCCGUAAUCCGGGUUGCGGACAGUGUCUGGUGGGUAGUUUGACUGGGGCGGUCUCCUCCUAAAGAGUAACGGAGGAGCACGAAGGUUGGCUAAUCCUGGUCGGACAUCAGGAGGUUAGUGCAAUGGCAUAAGCCAGCUUGACUGCGAGCGUGACGGCGCGAGCAGGUGCGAAAGCAGGUCAUAGUGAUCCGGUGGUUCUGAAUGGAAGGGCCAUCGCUCAACGGAUAAAAGGUACUCCGGGGAUAACAGGCUGAUACCGCCCAAGAGUUCAUAUCGACGGCGGUGUUUGGCACCUCGAUGUCGGCUCAUCACAUCCUGGGGCUGAAGUAGGUCCCAAGGGUAUGGCUGUUCGCCAUUUAAAGUGGUACGCGAGCUGGGUUUAGAACGUCGUGAGACAGUUCGGUCCCUAUCUGCCGUGGGCGCUGGAGAACUGAGGGGGGCUGCUCCUAGUACGAGAGGACCGGAGUGGACGCAUCACUGGUGUUCGGGUUGUCAUGCCAAUGGCACUGCCCGGUAGCUAAAUGCGGAAGAGAUAAGUGCUGAAAGCAUCUAAGCACGAAACUUGCC
This 1900-nucleotide ribosomal RNA is filed under the name Escherichia coli. RNAcentral's name for it is "partial 23S ribosomal RNA". It matches the Rfam family "Bacterial large subunit ribosomal RNA", at positions 916 to 2798 of the family's 2925-position model. Lineage: Bacteria; Pseudomonadati; Pseudomonadota; Gammaproteobacteria; Enterobacterales; Enterobacteriaceae. The record is from RNAcentral.